UUGCAUGCUGGGAUAGCUGCCCAUAAUCCACCGCUCCCAGUGCUGCUGCAAGUGCCACAAAUGUGGCCACGUCAGUGCACAAGCAGCUGUUGGUGUGGACAGACUGCAGCACUUUCCCUACUGAGCUCUCAGAAGGUGGGUUUAACUCACAGCUCUCUACAUCUGCAAGUGUAGCCAGUCGAUGGGCUGGAGGCAGAGCAACAGCAACAAGGAGCCAGAAGAGGCAAAGCUGGGGAGCUGGAGCAGUGCAGACCAGCCAUGCCGAGGGGGCCCCAGGGCUGAGCCACCGCAGGAAGCUGCAGACCCAGAGCUGGGGAGUGGAUGCCUGCUGCGCCACAAGUAACACCAGAGAUGAGUGCGGUGUGUUGAAGAGAGACCCAAACAGAAUUCAUCUGGAAAAAGGGACCCUGAAGGAACAUUUAAAGCAAGCAAAAAAUGAGGGAUUCUUAUGGCUCCACAAGCAACACGUGGGGUCAGCUCUGAGGAUAAAAAAAAAAUAUCUAAGAAAGUUAUAAAGUGCAUGAAAUCACAGAUGCAUAGUACCUCUGGUGAUUGUGCAAGAAGCUGGAACUAUUUUUCCAUGAUCCUGCCAAAAAGAACCAUGCGUGGCACCACUAAGUACGGAAUUUCCAAAGUGUUCUGGCUUGCACUUAUUCAUCAAGGAUUGCAUCAAUGGUAGAUGGCUGGUGGAAGUCCCCACUGUGCUAGUUCAGUCUCAGAAGAUGAAUAGGGAGCAUGAUGCAGUUCCUGAAUAGUCCCUUUCUACCAGCAGCACUUUAAAAAUACUGAUUGUUCUCUUUGUCACAUCAUAUACAGUUUUAUCUACGACAGGCAUUUGACUUUGGACUGUAACUUCCUGGCCAAGUGUAAACACCUUCCCAUACUCCAUUAAAGCAAGACACACCAUGAGGCUUCGCACUGUGCAUUAGAGAAGGAGGAGCUGGCAUGAAAAGGGGCAUCACCUACCACAUGAGGGAGCUCUGAGUUAUCCUCAGCUGCAGUUCACCAGAAGCAGCAGCCAUUGCAAAAGCACUAUACUUUGGAAUGGAUAUGGGAGGUCUCUGGCAAUUAGGUUUCAUAGCAGAAGAUAUUAAUGUGGAAUCUUUUAUUUCAACAGCCACCACAGCUGGCUACUAGAACAAAAUUUUAAAAAACA
Molecule: non-coding RNA, 1156 nt
Organism: Chelonoidis abingdonii (Abingdon island giant tortoise)
Lineage: Eukaryota; Metazoa; Chordata; Testudines; Testudinidae
Source: RefSeq, a predicted model, not a curated record